This 497-nucleotide ribosomal RNA is filed under the name uncultured bacterium. RNAcentral describes it as "partial 16S ribosomal RNA". It matches the Rfam family "Bacterial small subunit ribosomal RNA", at positions 28 to 507 of the family's 1533-position model. The record is from RNAcentral.
GAUGAACGCUGGCGGCGUGCCUAAUACAUGCAAGUCGAGCGAAAAGACUAGAGGUUUGCUCCUCUGACGUGAGGGGGGGGCGGGUGAGUCACAUAUGGAUCACCUAACUAUAAGAGUGGGAUAACUUGAAAAAAAUGCUAAUACUACCGACUAAUAUAUUGAACCAGGAGGUUCACUAGUGAAAGACGGUUUUGAUGUGACCUUGAGAUGGAUUCGCUCAGCAUUAGCUAAUUGGUAAGGUAAAGGCCUAACAAGGUGGCGGUUGGUAGCCGGCCUGAGGGGGGGGCCCGCCACACUGGGACUGAGAACCGGCCCAGACUCCUACGGGAGGCAGCAGUGGGGAAUAUUGGCCAAUGGGCGCAAGCCUGAUCGAGCCAUCCCGCGUGUGUGAAGAAGGCCUUACGGUUGUAAAACCCUUUUAGUGGUGAGGAAGAAAGUUUGGAUAAAAUCCAAACAUUUUGACGGUACCUAAUCAGAAAGCCACGGCUAACUCCGUG